ANGGCAUNAGCAAUCAUUGGGUUAGAUCUGCCCUUAUCGCAAGAUGAGGGCUUCCAUAUACACCGUGAACUGUGGCUUCGGCCAUCACAAACUGUUAGUAAUGAAUGUAAUAUCAUAACAAAAACAAAACUUUUAACAACGGAUCUCUUGGCUCUCGCAUCGAUGAAGAACGCAGCGAAAUGCGAUAAGUAAUGUGAAUUGCAGAAUUCAGUGAAUCAUCGAAUCUUUGAACGCACCUUGCGCCCUUUGGUAUUCCGAAGGGCAUGCCUGUUUGAGUGUCAUGAAACCUCACCCCACUUAGGUUUUUGCCUAAGCGGUGGUGUAUUGGGUGUUUGCCUUGCUAAAGGCUCGCCUUAAAGAUAUAAGCACCUUGGAUGUAAUACGUUUCAUCCUUCUGGGUGGCUGAUAACCCCACAUAUUCAUGAUCUGGCCUCAAAUCAGGUAGGGCUACCCGCUGAACUUAAGCAUAUCAAUAAGCGGAGGAA
Molecule: ribosomal RNA, 485 nt
Filed under: Vishniacozyma victoriae
Lineage: Eukaryota; Fungi; Basidiomycota; Tremellomycetes; Tremellales; Bulleribasidiaceae
Description: eukaryotic LSU rRNA
Rfam family: 5.8S ribosomal RNA (bases 128-281)
Source: RNAcentral